AGGGAGCCUGAGAAACGGCUACCACAUCCAAGGAAGGCAGCAGGCGCGCAAAUUACCCAAUCCAGACAUUGGGAGGUAGUGACGAGAAAUACUGGGGGCGCUCAAUGAGUGCCAUCCGGAAUGAACGUAACAUAAAGCAUUCGAUGAGGAUCUACUGGAGGGCAAGUCUGGUGCCAGCAGCCGCGGUAAUUCCAGCUCCAGUAGUGUAUAUCAACAUUGUUGCGCUUGGAACGCUCGUAGUUGGAUUGCAGGGUUCCGAACAGGCGGUCACAAGUGUGGCUGGUUGGUUGUGUGUCUUUUGGCGCACAUUGGGACUCUUGUCGCACCUGGCUCGGGUUCAGCCUUUAUUGGUUGGUUCGAAACUGGGUGGAGUGUGCCUUGAAUAAAGCAUGGUGCUCAAAGCAGGCGUACGCUCGUGUGUAAUAGCAUGGAACGAAUAGUUAUUGACUGGGGUGCGGUGUGUGUGGCUGUCUAGUGCAGUCAUGCAGCUGCGCCCGUGCUCAUCUAGUGUUGGUUGGAGCAACGGUCUCACUGGUUAAAAGGGACAUUUGAGGGCACUAGUACUUUGUGGCGAGAGGUGAAAUUCUUUGACCCACAAAAGACUGACUACUGCGAAAGCAUUUGCCAAGAAUGUUUUCAUUAAUCAAGAACGAAGGUCAGAGGAUCGAAGACGAUCAGAUACCGUCCUAGUUUUGACAGCAAACUAUGCCAGCAUAGAAUAAGUUUAAUCUCCUUGUAAAAGGCAGAAUUUGAUUUGUUCUUAAGGGAAACCUAGCUUUCGGGCUGCUGGGAGAAUAUCGCUGCAAGGCUGAAAUUUAAAGAAAUUGACGGAGAGGCACCACCAGGAGUGGAGCCUGCGGCUUAAUUUGAUUCAACACGGGGAAACUCACCAGGUCCAGACAUGUGUAGGAUUGACGGGUUAUAGAUCUUUCAUGAUUAUGUGAUUGGUGGUGCAUGGCCGUUCUUAGUUGGUGGAGUGAUCUGUCAGGUCUAUUCCGGUAACGAGCGAGACCGCGGUCCUUAUUUUAGUGUGUCUGAUCGUUUGGUCUGGCGGGCUAAUAAGGAGACUAUUGGUGUUUAAACCAGGGGAAGCGUGGCAAUAACAGGUCUGUGAUGCCCUUUGAUGUCCUGGGCUGCACGCGCGCUACAAUGGCAGCAGUAGAGAGUGGCUGGCCAGAGAUGGUUGGCGAAUCUGUGAAUAGCUGUCGUGAUGGGGAUUGAGCCUUGUAAUUGUUGCUCAUGAAAGAGGAAUUCCUCGUAAGCACUAGUCAUCAGCUAGUGUUGAAUACGUCUCUGCCUCUUGUACACACCGCCCGUCGCUACUACCGAUUGAAUUGCGUCCAGAGCUUGUUUGACC
This 1357-nucleotide ribosomal RNA is filed under the name Ceratomyxa yokoyamai. RNAcentral's name for it is "SSU rRNA". It matches the Rfam family "Eukaryotic small subunit ribosomal RNA", at positions 389 to 1716 of the family's 1831-position model. The record is from RNAcentral. Lineage: Eukaryota; Metazoa; Cnidaria; Myxozoa; Bivalvulida; Ceratomyxidae.